GACAGGGAAGGUUAUAGUCAGGUAUCUAUAAACCAAUCUGGGGUGACAACAGGAAGGUUAUAGUCGGGUAUCUAUAAACCAAUCUUGGGCGACAACAGGAGGGUUAUAGUCGGGUUUCUAUAAACCAUCAGUAAUAGAAAUAGUGCGUACUUAAACAAUAUAUGUGUUAACAGUUAUACUUGUUAUUGGGGAAAACCAAACAAUUUGAAACUAUUUGUGAUGUCUGAUGUUUGAGGUGUAUAUGAAUGGACCGAUGUUGUCUAGACUGUAAUGCUAAUUAAUGUCUAGACUAUGUAAGGUGAUUGACUCACAAGAUGGAUGUUACUAGAAUAAGCAUAUAUGGGUGUUAUUGCCACAGAAGUCAGUUGAAUAAACAACAAUAUAUCUGCAAUAAUAAGAUAUCACUUGAAAAUAUCAUUAUAGGCACCAGCAACAAUAGUGGAGAGGUCAAUAAGUGUUAGGCACCGGCAACAAUAGUGGAGAGGUCAAUAAGUGUUAGGCACCAGCAACAAUAGUGGAGAGGUCAAUAAGUGUUAGGCACCAGCAACAAUAGUGGAGAGGUCAAUAAGUGUUAGGCACCAGCAACAAUAGUGGAGAGGUCAAUAAGUGUUAGGCACCGGCAACGAUAGUGGAGAGGUCAAUAAGUGUUAGGCACCGGCAACGAUAGUGGAGAGGUCAAUAAGUGUUAGGCACCGGCAACGAUAGUGGAGAGGUCAAUAAGUGUUAGGCACCGGCAACGAUAGUGGAGAGGUCAAUAAGUGUUAGGCACCGGCAACGAUAGUGAAGAGGUCAAUAAGUGUUAGGCACCGGUAACGAUAGUUGAGAGGUCAAUAAGUUU
Molecule: long non-coding RNA, 838 nt
Filed under: Mizuhopecten yessoensis (Yesso scallop)
Lineage: Eukaryota; Metazoa; Mollusca; Bivalvia; Pectinida; Pectinidae
Description: uncharacterized LOC110449696, transcript variant X4
Source: RNAcentral